RNAcentral lists this ribosomal RNA (1219 nucleotides) under Morganella morganii. RNAcentral's name for it is "partial 23S ribosomal RNA". It matches the Rfam family "Bacterial large subunit ribosomal RNA", at positions 1 to 1258 of the family's 2925-position model. Lineage: Bacteria; Pseudomonadati; Pseudomonadota; Gammaproteobacteria; Enterobacterales; Morganellaceae. The record is from RNAcentral.
GGUUAAGCGAAUAAGCGUACACGGUGGAUGCCUAGGCAGUCAGAGGCGAUGAAGGACGUGCUAAUCUGCGAUAAGCGCCGGUAAGGUGAUAUGAACCGUUAUAACCGGCGAUUUCCGAAUGGGGAAACCCAGUGUGAUUCGUCACACUAUCAUUACCUGAAUACAUAGGGUAAUGAAGCGAACCGGGAGAACUGAAACAUCUAAGUACCCCGAGGAAAAGAAAUCAAACGAGAUUCCCCCAGUAGCGGCGAGCGAACGGGGAGCAGCCCAGGACCUUAAUCAGCAUCAGUGUUAAGAGAACAGUCUGGAAAGGCUGGCCACAGCAGGUGAUAGCCCUGUAUCUGAAAGCACUGGUGUUGUGAGUCCGAUGAGUAAGGCGGGACACGUGUUAUCCUGUCUGAAUAUGGGGGGACCAUCCUCCAAGGCUAAAUACUCCUGACUGACCGAUAGUGAACCAGUACCGUGAGGGAAAGGCGAAAAGAACCCCGGCGAGGGGAGUGAAAAAGAACCUGAAACCGUGUACGUACAAGCAGUGGGAGCACCCUUUGGGGUGUGACUGCGUACCUUUUGUAUAAUGGGUCAGCGACUUAUAUUCUGUAGCAAGGUUAACCGAAUAGGGGAGCCGCAGGGAAACCGAGUCUUAACUGGGCGUCUUAGUUGCAGGGUAUAGACCCGAAACCCGGUGAUCUAGCCAUGGGCAGGUUGAAGGUUGGGUAACACUAACUGGAGGACCGAACCGACUAAUGUUGAAAAAUUAGCGGAUGACUUGUGGCUGGGGGUGAAAGGCCAAUCAAACCGGGAGAUAGCUGGUUCUCCCCGAAAGCUAUUUAGGUAGCGCCUCGUGAAUUCAUCUCCGGGGGUAGAGCACUGUUUCGGCUAGGGGGUCAUCCCGACUUACCAACCCGAUGCAAACUGCGAAUACCGGAGAAUGUUAUCACGGGAGACACACGGCGGGUGCUAACGUUCGUCGUGAAGAGGGAAACAACCCAGACCGCCGGCUAAGGUCCCAAAGUCAUAAUUAAGUGGGAAACGAAGUGGGAAGGCUCAGACAGCCAGGAUGUUGGCUUAGAAGCAGCCAUCAUUUAAAGAAAGCGUAAUAGCUCACUGGUCGAGUCGGCCUGCGCGGAAGAUGUAACGGGGCUAAAUUAUGCACCGAAGCCGCGGCAGCGAUAUGUAAAUAUUGUUGGGUAGGGGAGCGUUCUGUAAGCCUGUGAAGGUG